Molecule: ribosomal RNA, 398 nt
Filed under: uncultured bacterium
Lineage: Bacteria
Description: bacterial SSU rRNA
Rfam family: Bacterial small subunit ribosomal RNA
Source: RNAcentral
GACGAACGCUGGCGGCGCGCUUAACACAUGCAAGUCGAGCGAUAACCAUGGCUUCGGCCAUGGGGAGAGCGGCGAACGGGUGAGUAACACGUGAGUAAUCUGCCCUCGACACUGGGAUAGCCCGGGGAAACCCGGAUUAAUACCGGAUAGCCUCUCGAGCUUCCGGGCUCGUGAGAAAAGAUGGCUUCGGCUUUCGGUUGAGGAGGAGCUUGCGGCGGAUUAGCUUGUUGGUGAGGAACGGCCCACCAAGGCGACGAUCCGUAGCUGGUCUGAGAGGACGAUCAGCCACACUGGGACGUGAGACACGGCCCACGACUCCUACGGGAGGCAGCAGUGGGGAAGUCUUGCGCAAUGGGCGAAAGACCUGAUGCAGCGACGCCGCGUGAGGGAUGACGGCC